RNAcentral lists this ribosomal RNA (274 nucleotides) under uncultured bacterium. RNAcentral describes it as "partial 16S ribosomal RNA". It matches the Rfam family "Bacterial small subunit ribosomal RNA", at positions 523 to 796 of the family's 1533-position model. The record is from RNAcentral.
AUACGGAGGGUGCGAGCGUUAAUCGGAAUUACUGGGCGUAAAGCGUACGUAGGCGGUUGGUUAAGUUAGAUGUGAAAGCCCCGGGCUUAACCUGGGAACUGCAUUUAAAACUGGCGAACUAGAGUUGAGUAGAGGGGAGUGGAAUUUCAGGUGUAGCGGUGAAAUGCGUAGAGAUCAGAAGGAACACCAGUGGCGAAGGCGACUCCCUGGACUCGAACUGACGCUGAGGUACGAAAGCGUGGGUAGCAAACGGGAUUAGAAACCCUAGUAGUCC